This 504-nucleotide ribosomal RNA is filed under the name Triticum aestivum (bread wheat). RNAcentral describes it as "partial small subunit ribosomal RNA". The record is from RNAcentral. Lineage: Eukaryota; Viridiplantae; Streptophyta; Magnoliopsida; Poales; Poaceae.
AUGGAUCCACUUAAAGUGUUCUACUUGGAUUAUCUUCGAUCCUUAUGCGCUCGUGCUGAAACCCCAACUAGCAUAAUUGAUGGGAAAUCUUCAGAUGAGCAUGCUCAUUUUGUGCGUCACCAUUUGUCUGAAAAAGAGAGACUCUUAUGGGAUCAAAUAAACAGUUUGUUGUGCUAUGCUAGGAAUCUUUGUGAAAUUUAUUAUUUUACUUGUUGUUCUAAGAACCCUAAAAAACACCUUCCCUACCUAUGUGAGUUUAAUGAAAAUGAAAUCUUAUCUUCUUAUGCAAAGGGUGUUUAUAGUUACUAUGAUAUCGAACAAAUUGAAGAAUUUGUUGCUUUUAAGGGUGCUUAUGAAGUUGCUUCUUUGAUUGAAAAGUAUGAUAUUACUCUCUACAAAUCUGAAAAUUUUGACAUACUUAAAUAUUGCUAUGAAAAUUAUGCUCAUAAUGCCUAUGUCAAAGAAUUUAUUGAAAGAAUGACCGUUGCUUUGGAAGAAAAAUAA